GGGGAAUAUUGGACAAUGGGGGCAACCCUGAUCCAGCGACGCCGCGUGGGUGAAGAAGGCCUGCGGGUUGUAAAGCCCUUUCGGUGGGGAAGAAAAGUGUCGGCUUAGUACGUCGGCACCUUGACGUAACCCACUAAAGAAGCACCGGCUACCUCUGUGCCAGCAGCCGCGGUACUACAGAGGGUGCGAGCGUUAAUCGGAAUUACUGGGCGUAAAGCGCGCGUAGGCGGCUUUUCAAGCCGAUUGUGAAAUCCCCGGGCUUAACCUGGGAACUGCAGUCGGGACUGUCUAGCUAGAGUAUGGGAGAGGGAAGUGGAAUUUCAGGUGUAGCGGUGAAAUGCGUAGAUAUCUGAAGGAACAUCAGUGGCGAAAGCGACUUCCUGGACCAAUACUGACGCUCAUGUGCGAAAGCGUGGGGAGCAAAC
RNAcentral lists this ribosomal RNA (425 nucleotides) under uncultured bacterium. RNAcentral's name for it is "bacterial SSU rRNA". It matches the Rfam family "Bacterial small subunit ribosomal RNA", at positions 356 to 773 of the family's 1533-position model. The record is from RNAcentral.